GAUGAACGCUGGCGGCGUGCUUAACACAUGCAAGUCGAACGAAGCACCUGUAUGGAUCCCUUCGGGGUGAAGUGCUUGUGACUGAGUGGCGGACGGGUGAGUAACGCGUGGGUAACCUGCCUUACACAGGGGGAUAACAGUUAGAAACAGGUGCUAAUACCGCAUAACAGUUUAUGCCGCAUGGCAUAAGAGUGAAAGGCGCUUUCGGGUGUCGCUGAUGGAUGGACCCGCGGUGCAUUAGCUAGUUGGUGAGGUAACGGCUCACCAAGGCCACGAUGCAUAGCCGACCUGAGAGGGUGAUCGGCCACACUGGGACUGAGACACCGGCCCAG
RNAcentral lists this ribosomal RNA (332 nucleotides) under uncultured bacterium. RNAcentral's name for it is "bacterial SSU rRNA". It matches the Rfam family "Bacterial small subunit ribosomal RNA", at positions 28 to 334 of the family's 1533-position model. The record is from RNAcentral.